ACACUUGGAAAGAAAAAAAAUUGCCACCAAAACAUCUGAGAUGGCUUUGUAUUGCUUCUCAGAAUCGUAAAUUGGAGUCUCUUUCUCCACCUCUCUCUCUCUCUUUCUCUCUUGAACUCAUUGUCUCUUCGUCUCCAUCUCUCCUCUGUCGUGUUUGCCGGUCAGUUUCUUCAUGGCUUCCACCAGACAAACCUCCAAUCUUCGUCGUUCACGGCCAGCCGAGUUAUAUCUCCUGGGUAUACCCAGUCGUAAUCUCUCUCUUUGCCAUUGUCUCCGUUUCCUUUUCGUACUUCAUGUUCGGCUCCCUAAAUCCCUCUUUGAUUCGAGCCCUUCUCUGUUUGUCUCCAAUGGAGAAGAACAAUGCCAAGAACGGUUCAAAGUCUUCUCCUUUCGAUUUCAACAAGAGUAGAGCUGAUGGUUUUGACGAAACUUGUAAGAACAAGAAAAUCUGGAAAGAAAAAAACGCAAGCUCAAUCCCAACACCACUGCUUACGCUCAGCUUAACAUUACAGAAUCCUCAAAACAAAAACAAAAAUCUUAUUUUGUUGUGUAAAAUUUGAAAAAUUGAUCUUUUUUGAAGGUCCUUGGAACAGGAAUGGAUACACAAGAUACUUUGUCUUCUGUAUUACUCUUCUUUGAUAAACAAUGAUUCAUCUUUAAUGGAUAGGGCUUGCAGGUGGACUUCCAAGUUUAUCCGAGUCAUGUGAUGGGAUCUUCAGUACCUGGUCCCAUUGUUCUCCUUGUGGACUGUCCAACUGAGUCGCACGUUGCACAAUUGUUAUCAGCUGAGUCUUUGCUGGACACCAAAGAAGAAUAUGGAGUUUCCAAUUCUGAAAGCAUGUUCAAGAAUCGCAGAUGAUGAAGAAGAACUUGCUAAGUACCCACUCACCACUGAAUCCACAAUGAAGAUGACUGGGAUACUGGUACUUGUUCAGAUGAUGAAGAUGAGGAGCAACUCUUUUCUGAGGAAUUAUUGUGUGCUCCAAACGAAACCAUAACCAAAUAUAAGAGCAUCCCCAUUGGGGUAUGCUAAUAAAGGUUCACACGCAUUUCGAUAAAAAAAAUAAUAUAUUAAUGUUUGCUUUGUGAACCCGCGCCGCGCAGGAUCAGUUGGACGAACCCGUAUCAUCACUAUUUGCGGGCCCCACUGACGCGUGGCGGCUCGCGAUUGGUCCGUUAAUUAAUUUUUUUUUUUUUUUUUUUUUUGGAAAAUCAAACGAAAAAAAUUAAAAACUAUUAUAAUUGCAUUGGAAAUCGAGAAUGGACAAACUUGCUGAUGGAGAUGCUCUAAGUGUAGUUUUUUAGUAACAUUGUUUGUUAGUUUUGGGUUUUAUUCUAUUCUUAUUCUGGUGCAAACGUUCAUAAAACAUAUUAUUUCUUAUGUCCCAUUUGUAAAAUAAUAUCUUACAUGAUCGAGUUU
Molecule: long non-coding RNA, 1420 nt
Organism: Raphanus sativus (radish)
Lineage: Eukaryota; Viridiplantae; Streptophyta; Magnoliopsida; Brassicales; Brassicaceae
Exons: 6
Source: RefSeq, a predicted model, not a curated record